UACGGGGGAUGCAAGCGUUAUCCGGAUUUAUUGGGUUUAAAGGGUGCGUAGGCUGUGAGGUAAGUCAGCGGUGAAAUGCCCCCGCUCAACGGGGUGAAGUGCCAUUGAUACUGCCUUGCUGGAAUGCGGAUGCCGUGGGAGGAAUGUGUGGUGUAGCGGUGAAAUGCAUAGAUAUCACGCAGAACUCCAGUGGCGAAGGCGAUUCUCUGGACUGUAACUGACGCUGAGGCUCGAAAGCGUGGGGAGCAAACAGG
This 254-nucleotide ribosomal RNA is filed under the name uncultured Bacteroidales bacterium. Its description in RNAcentral is "partial 16S ribosomal RNA". It matches the Rfam family "Bacterial small subunit ribosomal RNA", at positions 524 to 776 of the family's 1533-position model. The record is from RNAcentral. Lineage: Bacteria; Pseudomonadati; Bacteroidota; Bacteroidia; Bacteroidales.